RNAcentral lists this ribosomal RNA (483 nucleotides) under uncultured bacterium. Its description in RNAcentral is "bacterial SSU rRNA". It matches the Rfam family "Bacterial small subunit ribosomal RNA", at positions 28 to 507 of the family's 1533-position model. The record is from RNAcentral.
GAUGAACGCUGGCGGCGUGCCUCAAACAUGCAAGUCGAGCGGGGCUAUGUAAUAUCGCAAGGUAGAACAUAGCCUAGCGGCGAACGGGUGAGUAACACGUGGGUAAUCUGCCCUCGAGUGGGGAAUAAGCUUCCGAAAGGGGGUCUAAUGCCGCAUAACGUUUCAUAACGAUGGUUAUGAAACCAAAGCCCAAAAGGCGCUCGAGGAGGAGCCUGCGUCCUAUCAGCUUGUUGGCAGGGUAAUGGCCUACCAAGGCUAUGACGGGUAGCCGGCCUGAGAGGGUGUCCGGCCACACUGGAACUGAGACACGGUCCAGACUCCUACGGGAGGCAGCAGUGGGGAAUUUUGCGCAAUGGGGGAAACCCUGACGCAGCGACGCCGCGUGGAGGAUGACGGCCUUCGGGUUGUAAACUCCUGUCAGAAGGGACGAAAUCCCGCAAGGGACUGACGGUACCUUCAGAGGAAGCCCCGGCUAACUACGUG